GAGGAAUAUUGGGCAAUGCCCGCAAGGGUGACCCAGCAACGCCGCGUGGAGGAUGGAUGUCGUAAGAUUGUAAACUCCUGUUAGAGGGGAAGAAUAGUACCGGUUGGACCGGUAUAUGACUGUACCCUCAGAGAAAGCCCCGGCUAACUACGUGCCAGCAGCUGCGGUAAUACGUAGGGGGCAAGCGUUGUCCGGAUUUACUGGGGGUAAAGGGCGCGCAGGCGGGAUAAAAAGUCAGUGGUGAAAUCCUACAGCUUAUCUGUAGAACUGCCUUUGAUACUUUUAUUCUUGAGUUCGGGAGAGAGAGACGGAAUUCCAGGUGUAGUGGUGAAAUACGUAGAUAUCUGGAAGAACACCAGUUGCGAAGGCGGUCUCUUGGUCCGACACUGACGCUGAGGCGCGAAAGCGUGGGGAGCAAACA
This 421-nucleotide ribosomal RNA is filed under the name uncultured bacterium. Its description in RNAcentral is "bacterial SSU rRNA". It matches the Rfam family "Bacterial small subunit ribosomal RNA", at positions 356 to 774 of the family's 1533-position model. The record is from RNAcentral.